AAAAUUUUAAUUGCAUCAAAAAUUUCAGAAAUGGAAAAGUGGGUACGUUUCCUGGCUGCAUGUAAACUCUCUUUACACACAUAGUAUCCCCAAGAGAUUUUGAGAGCGCUGAUUGGCUUUCUCGGCAACGCCAUCUGUGACGUAUGGGUAUUUCAUUCUGCCGUGCUUGUUAUUUUCAGCAUAGAGCGAUUUCUAUACUCCAGCUUUUGUGUACAAACUUGAAAUGUGAGUUUUUUCAACAGAGAAACUGCCUUUUUCAUUUAAAAAUGAAGUAGAAUAUAUUUCCUCAAAUACCAUUACCCUUAAAAGCAAUGUUCUAAAUUUAGACGAUUGCAACAAGUGGGUAAUAGAAUUUGGGGAACUUACCAAUACGAAAUGGAAUUCUAGAACUUUCAAACCUCAUGGACAAAGAUUUGUUUGUAGUUGCAGGAAAUUAUUUGUUUGUCACCACUGUGCGUUUGUGAAAAUUCAGAAGGAGAAAUGUAAAAGAAGUUUUUAAAAAAAUUCUGAUUGUCAAGCCAGAAUAUCUGUAAAAGUGAAGUAGAACAGAAAAUCAACAAGGAAAUCAGAUUAUUGUACUUUAUUAACUUGUUAUAUGGUACUCGCUAGAAAAUGAAUUUUAUUAAUUAUAAAUAUUCUACAAUUUU
Parasteatoda tepidariorum (common house spider) is the source of this 647-nucleotide long non-coding RNA. Lineage: Eukaryota; Metazoa; Arthropoda; Arachnida; Araneae; Theridiidae. The record is from RefSeq and is a predicted model, not a curated record.